RNAcentral lists this unclassified non-coding RNA (336 nucleotides) under soil metagenome. Its description in RNAcentral is "partial contains 5.8S ribosomal RNA, internal transcribed spacer 2, and large subunit ribosomal RNA". The stretch from base 5 to 119 matches the Rfam family "5.8S ribosomal RNA", at positions 40 to 154 of the family's 154-position model. The record is from RNAcentral.
GAUGAGAACGUAGCGAAAUGCGAUAAGUAAUGUGAAUUGCAGAAUUCAGUGAAUCAUCGAAUCUUUGAACGCACAUUGCGCCCGCCAGUAUUCUGGCGGGCAUGCCUGUUCGAGCGUCAUUUCAACCAUCAAGCCCCCGGGCUUGUGUUGGGGACCUGCGGCUGCCGCAGGCCCCGAAAACCAGUGGCGGGCUCGCUGUCACCCCGAGCGUAGUAGUUUACACCUCGCCCAGGGCGUGCCGCGGGUUCCCGGCCGUUAAACCCCCCCAUACCACAAGGUUGACCUCGGAUCAGGUAGGAAGACCCGCUGAACUUAAGCAUAUCAAUAAGCGGAGGA